UCCUACGGGAGGCAGCAGUGGGGAAUAUUGGGCAAUGGGCGAAGGCCUGACCCAGCAACGCCGCGUGAGGGAAGAAGGUCUUCGGGUUGUAAACCUCUGUCCUAAGUGAAAAGGAAGGAUGGUAGCUUAGGAGGAAGCUCCGGCUAACUACGUGCCAGCAGCCGCGGUAAUACGUAGGGAGCGAGCGUUGUCCGGAAUGAUUGGGCGUAAAGGGCGUGUAGGCGGCCUUUUAAGUCUGAAGUGAAAUCCCUGGUUUCAAGUCAGGGUCUGCUUUGGAAACUGGGAGGCUUGAGUGCAGGAGAGGUUAUCGGAAUUCCCGGUGUAGCGGUGAAAUGCGUAGAGAUCGGGAGGAACACCAGUGGCGAAGGCGGGUAACUGGACUGUAACUGACGCUAAGGCGCGAAAGUGUGGGGAGCAAACAGGAUUAGAUACCCUGGUAGUCC
RNAcentral lists this ribosomal RNA (443 nucleotides) under uncultured bacterium. RNAcentral's name for it is "bacterial SSU rRNA". It matches the Rfam family "Bacterial small subunit ribosomal RNA", at positions 337 to 796 of the family's 1533-position model. The record is from RNAcentral.